This is a non-coding RNA of Coffea arabica (coffee), 366 nucleotides long. The record is from RefSeq and is a predicted model, not a curated record. Lineage: Eukaryota; Viridiplantae; Streptophyta; Magnoliopsida; Gentianales; Rubiaceae.
AGAACAAUCCUUCAUUACUAAUGUUGAUGCUGAAGAUUGAUCCCGAUAGCAAGAAGUUCAUGGAUGGAGGACAAAGAGGACCUUCACAUUAGUUGCAACAUGUUGGUCCUGCUGUUUUUUGGCCUUGAGCAAACAUUAAUUAGGAGAGGGGUGGAAUUUGUAUUGCAGAGUGUGAAGAUUUGACAUCAGCUCAGACUGGAUAGAAACAAUUAAUCAGGGUUUUGAUACUGCAUGCACUAGUUUGCAAUGGCGACAUGUGUUGCAAAGAGAAUGACCGUAGCAGGUUUUCGGGUGCUGUUAAGAAGAAGAAGUCUUCUUGCUCAUGUUUUUGUCCUAUGGUGGGGAUUUCAAUAAUGCUUUCUGGUU